GACGAACGCUGGCGGCGUGCCUAAUACAUGCAAGUAGAACGCUGAAGGAGGAGCUUGCUUCUCUGGAUGAGUUGCGAACGGGUGAGUAACGCGUAGGUAACCUGCCUGGUAGCGGGGGAUAACUAUUGGAAACGAUAGCUAAUACCGCAUAAGAGUAGAUGUCGCAUGACAUUUGCUUAAAAGGUGCAAUUGCAUCACUACCAGAUGGACCUGCGUUGUAUUAGCUAGUUGGUGAGGUAACGGCUCACCAAGGCAACGAUACAUAGCCGACCUGAGAGGGUGAUCGGCCACACUGGGACUGAGACACGGCCCAGACUCCUACGGGAGGCAGCAGUAGGGAAUCUUCGGCAAUGGACGGAAGUCUGACCGAGCAACGCCGCGUGAGUGAAGAAGGUUGUCGGAUCGUAAAGCUCUGUUGUAAGAGAAGAACGAGUGUGAGAGUGGAAAGUUCACACUGUGACGGUAUCUUAACAGAAAGGGACGGCUAACUACGUG
Molecule: ribosomal RNA, 495 nt
Filed under: uncultured bacterium
Lineage: Bacteria
Description: partial 16S ribosomal RNA
Rfam family: Bacterial small subunit ribosomal RNA
Source: RNAcentral